This 468-nucleotide ribosomal RNA is filed under the name uncultured bacterium. Its description in RNAcentral is "partial 16S ribosomal RNA". It matches the Rfam family "Bacterial small subunit ribosomal RNA", at positions 28 to 507 of the family's 1533-position model. The record is from RNAcentral.
GACGAACGCUGGCGGCGUGCUUAACACAUGCAAGUCGAACGGAAAGGCCCUGCUUUUGUGGGGUGCUCGAGUGGCGAACGGGUGAGUAACACGUGAGUAACCUGCUCUUGACUUUGGGAUAACUUCAGGAAACUGGGGCUAAUACCGGAUAGGAGCUCCUGCUGCAUGGUGGGGGUUGGAAAGUUUCGGCGGUUGGGGCUGGACUCGCGGCUUAUCAGCUUGUUGGUGGGGUAGUGGCUUACCAAGGCUUUGACGGGUAGCCGGCCUGAGAGGGUGACCGGCCACAUUGGGACUGAGAUACGGCCCAGACUCCUACGGGAGGCAGCAGUGGGGAAUAUUGCACAAUGGGCGGAAGCCUGAUGCAGCAACGCCGCGUGCGGGAUGACGGCCUUCGGGUUGUAAACCGCUUUCGCCUGUGACGAAGCGUGAGUGACGGUAAUGGGUAAAGAAGCACCGGCUAACUACGUG